GCUAACACAGUUCAAUGAUUGAAGAAAGACAUAUUACUCAUUUGCCACUGAUCUAAUGAUUUGGGGCAAAGAAAAUCAUUCAGCUUCUUAUAUUCCAAGCGGUGCAUUUCGUGGCAAACCCAACACUGGGUUACGAAACUUCAAUGCACAGACGCAUCGAAGUCAAGAAGUUGCAAGAAAAAUAAUUUCACAACAUGAUUUAUGCAGAUAUAUAUUUCACAUUUUUUGUUUUUCCCUUUCUUUCCAAUCCAAUCAUCUUUUUAACAACUUUCAGAGGAGAAAGGACACAAACUUUAACCCAACAAAUCAGAUGCAUCAGAAUUAUACGUUUAACAAACCUAUCACCAGUAAUGCCCACCACCACACUCUAAAAGCAAGAAAGCCUGGAUGUGAAAACCGAACAGCAACGGUUGGCAUGUAGUGCGUCAGAUCAUCCUUGUUAAACCUAAAGACGGCUCCCUGCCUCAUGAAAGAUAGGAUCAGAUCUCAUCAAUGGAGAGGACAGACUAAAUGCUGCAUUAACGAGGGACCCUCUUCCGACUAAGGAUCUCUUGUUCUUUUAGUCGAUGCUGGAACCUAGCCAGGCGAGCUUGAAGACUAACCAGACCUGCUGCCUUGCGUGAGAGCACAAAGCUUAACUGGGUCACGUAGCUAUCAAUGAGACUGCCUGGUUGGUCAACUUCUGAGAGCAGUUUCAUUUCCUCACGAACAAUCUCCAUUGUAUCCUCUAUUUCUUUUCUAUGAGCCUUGAUUAAGGCCUCUUCCUCCUAGAAACAACCCAAUAAAAAAGAUUAAUAGAAGCCAUAACACACUUCUAAAUAGACUAAACAAGCAUAAGAUAGCAAACCUCAAGUAUGGCAUCGAUAUUCCCAUCUGAAGGAGGAUCAGGAUCAUAAUGUCGCGAUCCAGUAUUAUUAGCAGUAUAGUUUCCAGUGCUCUGAUGCCUGCUGUUUGUGGAGGGGAGAUCAGAACCACCGUUGUCUUUUUUCAACCAGUUACCCAAAUUUUCCAACUUUUCCUCCCUAGAUCCUUUUCUAGGGGGCGGUGACACCUUUUGCAUUUUCUCUUCUGUAUCCACUGAGUUUUGAAAAUAUGACAAAUGGACUUUUUGGCUUGUAGAACCACCAUAAGAAUUAUUAAUUUCAAUCCACUCCUUAUCCACUAAGCCAGAAGAUCCACUUUCAUCUAGUCCAUUCAAGGGAUAACUUGAAGUAAAACUUGGGGAAUGUUUGUCAAAAUCAGUAGUAGGGUUGUAAGAAAAUGUUUCUUUUUCUACCACUCUUCUACCUGUGUCCACUGCCUUCAACUCUUGUUGUUGUUCAUAAACAUCAUCUACAUCAGAAAAAAUGGGCAAAGAUGAUGCUGAUGAUACAUCCUUGUUAGUUGGAGGUAAUGAAUUUGCAUUCUGAUCCUUUCUUGGAUUUCCACUUUUUGAAAGACUUUUAACUCGAUCUGCAUAUCUCAAAGUAUUUAGUGUAUGUUCACAUGAGCCUGCAUUUGGAGAAAUACAAGAGAUCAUAACCGUUCUAGAGUUUCCAACAAAAGAGUCACGGAGUACUUCUGUCAGUUUGCUCCCACGAAACGGUAUGUGAAUUUGGUCAUUGUCCAGAGCACGAAUGCAUUCCUUAAGGGCCAAAAGGCUCUUGUUAAUUUCAGCACCUUCAAUCCUUGUUUGUCGGUCAUUAUCUGUGGUGUCAGCACCUCGUUCACUACCAGCAAGAUCAAUAAAAGAAAUUUUCCCAAUCACUUUUCCACUUUUAGACUCAUUCCCAUCAUUAUUCCUCCUGGAGUCUUUUGCCUCGCUGUGCUUCUUAACAGCAAGCUGUAAGAUAGCAUGUGACCUUGAAGAUUCCUCAUUGGCACCAGUAGAUCCCGUACUUCUUGCUGCAUUUCCCUUCUCAAUAUAUUCCUUAACAAUCUGUACAUCAGAAACUUCAAAUUCUUGCAGUCCAACAAUACAAACUUGUUGUCGUCCAUCUUCUCGCAUGCAAAGUUUCUUUCUUUCACUGAGAAGAUCAAAGAGUUUUCCACCAUAUAUUUCAAAAAAGCUGAGCCACAGUCUGAACCUCUGAUUUCGAUAAACUGGCUGGUGCAACAACCUAACAAGGUCGUCAGCAGCUCUUAGAGGCAAUGGUUGCAUGGUGAAUGUCUUACCACUACCUGUCUGACCAUAUGCAAAACAUGUAGCUUUUGUUCGCUGGAAAAUGGUGGGAAUAAUUGGCUCCACAGUGACACGAUACACCUCAUCAUUGGUGACAUGCUGAUCCAGAACAGCAUCAAAACAAAACUCAUGCUUCUCAACAUAUGCAGUCAAGUCCACCUUUAGCUUAGGUUCAUGAACAGUUAAAGCAUUGUCGGAUACAGUUACAAUAUCAUCUUCCUUCCGAGCAAUUUCCUUCUUGUUAAGUGGUCUUUUGCGUACCACAACUUUAAUUUUUGCCACAUUAUUUUCCCUAUUACUGUUCUCUUUUUCGAUAAUAGCAGAUGGAACAGAUUGAUCUGGAUCAUUUUGCUCUCUUUGCUGUUUAACACUAGUUGCAUCGUCGUCAAAUCCUUUUGAGCCACCAUGCAUAAAUGGUGAUGGCUCGAAUGUUUCUGAGAUGACAUGCUCAGAUAGAAGCUCUGUAUCAUCCAUAGCAUGAAGAUCUAAAAGGCCAGCUCCAAAAUCACCCCUAAAGUCAGGAGAAUAAAAACCAUCUGAUACAGCCAUACCAGCUGAAGUUUGGGCAGUUGGUGUAUAAGACUCAGAACCUGAUUCUCCAUUGAAGUUGAGGUUUCUCAUUAGCUUGAAAAGCCUCUGCUUCUCUUCAGCAGAUUGUGCUCCAUAACCCUGCAUUAGGAGAUUAGGGAGGAGGCGCUGAUCGAUGCCUGUUGAAGCCAAGGGAGAGGCCAGAUGCUGUAAGCCCGCAGACUGGAGCCACCGUGCCAUGACAGCAUCGCCGGCAUCGCUUACGGGGCCUGCAUUGUGCAUAGGCCCACCGCCGGCAUGAUCAUAUAGAGCGGUCGCCGCAGCAGCAUUGCUCUGCUGCAUCUGGCCACCCAUGUGGCGCUGCGAGCGCUUUUGCGGAGCCAAUUUUCAAGAUCUAUUUAACACGGAAUUACGGAGAAAAUUCGAACCCAAAGCAGAACAUGAAAAAUGAAUCCUGUAAAUAUCGACUCCAAUCCACCAAAAUUCAGAGAUGUUAUCGAAGAGAAAUAAAGAGAUCCGUGGGGUGUAAAAAGGAAUGAAACUAAAAAUUGACGAGCAGAUCUGAAACUGUAGAAAUAACACAGAAACCCUAAAAUUUUUUGGCUGUAAAUGAGAAGGGAGGAAGAGGGGAGGAAGUCUGUGUUUGAAUUUUUCUGCGUCCGCCACAAAUGAGAAAAUGUUAAUAGCAGACAGCGAGAGAGAGAGAGAGAGAG
RNAcentral lists this unclassified non-coding RNA (3402 nucleotides) under Hevea brasiliensis (rubber tree). Lineage: Eukaryota; Viridiplantae; Streptophyta; Magnoliopsida; Malpighiales; Euphorbiaceae. The record is from RNAcentral.